Molecule: transfer RNA, 72 nt
Filed under: Ovis aries (sheep)
Lineage: Eukaryota; Metazoa; Chordata; Mammalia; Artiodactyla; Bovidae
Rfam family: tRNA
About the family: Transfer RNA (tRNA) molecules are approximately 80 nucleotides in length. Their secondary structure includes four short double-helical elements and three loops (D, anti-codon, and T loops). Further hydrogen bonds mediate the characteristic L-shaped molecular structure. tRNAs have two regions of fundamental functional importance: the anti-codon, which is responsible for specific mRNA codon recognition, and the 3' end, to which the tRNAs corresponding amino acid is attached (by aminoacyl-tRNA synthetases). tRNAs cope with the degeneracy of the genetic code in two manners: having more than one tRNA (with a specific anti-codon) for a particular amino acid; and 'wobble' base-pairing, i.e. permitting non-standard base-pairing at the 3rd anti-codon position.
Source: Rfam by way of RNAcentral
UCCUUAGUGGCUCAGAUGGUAAGGAAUCGACCUGCAAUGUGGAAGACCUGGGUUCGAUCCCUGGCUGGGGAA